GCAGAAGAGAGAGCAGAGACUAAAGAGAUCCUGAAAAAAACAUUUCUGGGGACAAGGUUGGAGAGAAGAGGGAAUUCAAUGAAAAUAUCAUGCCUCAAAUUAAUGACAUCUGAACUUAGCAAAUCUGUGUGCAACUGAAGUAUUUUGGACAGGAAAUACGGAGAGAGAACAUAUGUGUACUUCGGAAGAGAAUAUGUUAUGACGAAAUGACUUGUUCAGAAGACUCCGUAAAGACAGCAAUAAAGGAAAUGCUUUAUGUUAGACAAAAGCAUGGUGACUUCUGAAUCUUACAUCACCAAAUGAGGAACCCACAAGCAAG
This 319-nucleotide long non-coding RNA is filed under the name Manacus vitellinus (golden-collared manakin). RNAcentral's name for it is "lncRNA (ENSMVIG00005002952.1)". The record is from RNAcentral. Lineage: Eukaryota; Metazoa; Chordata; Aves; Passeriformes; Pipridae.